UACCCUUGACAUGUACGGAAGUCUGCUGAGAGGUGGGGUGCCUGAAAGGGAACCGUAACAC
This 61-nucleotide ribosomal RNA is filed under the name uncultured organism. RNAcentral's name for it is "partial 16S ribosomal RNA". The record is from RNAcentral.